UUUAGGUUUGUUGGGGAGAAUGAAUCAUUUCCAAAGGAUUCUUUCUUGAUUAAUGAUGUCAAUGAAAAUGCUGUGCCUAUAACCUUAACAACACAACCAGGUUGGGGUGAUAUUUUAGAAGAAGAUUCCACUCAGGAUGCUGAUCAUCUUACAGCGGAUCUUGCUAUUUCCUUUGAGGAGGAAAAUCUUAAUCAUGGUGCAGAAGUUUGUGAUCCUUCUGAUAAGGAGGAAGGAUCAGUGAUUGAAGAAGAGGUUGUUGAACACCAAGCUGGUUCUACCCG
Molecule: unclassified non-coding RNA, 281 nt
Filed under: Hevea brasiliensis (rubber tree)
Lineage: Eukaryota; Viridiplantae; Streptophyta; Magnoliopsida; Malpighiales; Euphorbiaceae
Source: RNAcentral